GCAAGACCGGUGCCAGCCGCCGCGGUAACACCGGCGGCUCGAGUGGUAACCGUUAUUAUUGGGUCUAAAGGGUCUGUAGCCGGCCGGAUAAGUCUCUUGAGAAAUCCAGCAGCCCAACUGUUGGGCUUUCAGGAGAUACUGUUCGGCUCGAGGCCGGGAGAGGUGAGAGGUACUUCAGGGGUAGGGGUGAAAUCUUGUAAUCCUUGAAGGACCACCAGUGGCGAAGGCGUCUCACCAGAACGGACCUGACGGCAAGGGACGAAAGCUAGGGGCACGAACCGGAUUAGAUACCCGGGUAGUCCUAGCCGUAAACGAUACUCGCUAGGUGUCGGCCACGGUGCGACCGUUGUCGGUGCCGUAGGGAAGCCGUGAAGCGAGC
RNAcentral lists this ribosomal RNA (379 nucleotides) under uncultured archaeon. Its description in RNAcentral is "bacterial SSU rRNA". It matches the Rfam family "Archaeal small subunit ribosomal RNA", at positions 446 to 824 of the family's 1478-position model. The record is from RNAcentral.